This 709-nucleotide ribosomal RNA is filed under the name Globisporangium attrantheridium. RNAcentral's name for it is "eukaryotic LSU rRNA". It matches the Rfam family "Eukaryotic large subunit ribosomal RNA", at positions 81 to 628 of the family's 3401-position model. The record is from RNAcentral. Lineage: Eukaryota; Oomycota; Peronosporomycetes; Pythiales; Pythiaceae.
UAGUAACGGCGAGUGAAGCGGGAUGAGCUCAAGCUUAAAAUCUCUGUGCCAGUUUGGCAUGGCGAAUUGUAGUCUAUAGAGGCGUUGUCAGUGCAGCUGUGCGGGGUAAGUUCCUUGGAAGAGGACAGCAUCGAGGGUGAUACUCCCGUUUGUACCUGUGCGGCUUGCGCGUACGACACGUUUUCUUCGAGUCGCGUUGUUUGGGACUGCAGCGCAAAGUAGGUGGUAAAUUCCAUCUAAAGCUAAAUAUUGGUGCGAGACCGAUAGCGAACAAGUACCGUGAGGGAAAGAUGAAAAGAACUUUGAAAAGAGAGUUAAAGAGUACCUGAAACUGCUGAAAGGGAAGCGAAUCGUAUCCAGUGUCUAUAAUCUGCGGCAUAUUUCAUUGGCGGCGGUGCGCGUGCUUUUGCGUCGGAAGCGGCUUUUGUUGCUCUGUGCUUUUGCUGUGCGUGUUGUUGCUGGUGCCCUGUGUUGCGGUGGGACGUCAGAGUCAGUUUGUAUGCUGCGGGAAAUGGCUGCCGAGGAGGUAGGUCGAGAUUUCGGUCUUGGCUGUUAUAUCUUGGUGGUUUGUUGUCGUGGUUGAGACUGAGGUGCCUACAAUGUGCUUUUGAGUGUGCCGGGUUCUCAUUUGGUGGACUGUUUGGAUAGCUUGCUAUGCUUGUGGUUUUUUCAUCGGGUGAUUGAGUCUGGUGGUAACUUAUUGCCGUUC